GAUGAACGCUGGCGGCGUGCCUAAUACAUGCAAGUCGAGCGAACGGACGAGAAGCUUGCUUCUCUGAUGUUAGCGGCGGACGGGUGAGUAACACGUGGAUAACCUACCUAUAAGACUGGGAUAACUUCGGGAAACCGGAGCUAAUACCGGAUAAUAUUUUGAACCGCAUGGUUCAAAAGUGAAAGACGGUCUUGCUGUCACUUAUAGAUGGAUCCGCGCUGCAUUAGCUAGUUGGUAAGGUAACGGCUUACCAAGGCAACGAUGCAUAGCCGACCUGAGAGGGGGGUCGGCCACCCGGGAACGGAGACACGGACCAGACUCCUACGGGAGGCAGCAGAAGGGAAUCUUCCGCAAUGGGCGAAAGCCUGACGGAGCAACGCCGCGUGAGUGAUGAAGAUCUUCGGAUCGUAAAACUCUGUUAUUAGGGAAGAACAUAUGUGUAAGUAACUGUGCACAUCUUGACGGUACCUAAUCAGAAAGCCACGGCUAACUACGUG
RNAcentral lists this ribosomal RNA (497 nucleotides) under uncultured bacterium. RNAcentral's name for it is "partial 16S ribosomal RNA". It matches the Rfam family "Bacterial small subunit ribosomal RNA", at positions 28 to 507 of the family's 1533-position model. The record is from RNAcentral.